This 253-nucleotide ribosomal RNA is filed under the name uncultured bacterium. RNAcentral's name for it is "partial 16S ribosomal RNA". It matches the Rfam family "Bacterial small subunit ribosomal RNA", at positions 524 to 776 of the family's 1533-position model. The record is from RNAcentral.
UACGAAGGGGGCUAGCGUUGCUCGGAAUCACUGGGCGUAAAGCGCACGUAGGCGGCUUUUUAAGUCAGAGGUGAAAUCCUGGAGCUCAACUCCAGAACUGCCUUUGAUACUGGAGAGCUUGAGUCCGGGAGAGGUGAGUGGAACUGCGAGUGUAGAGGUGAAAUUCGUAGAUAUUCGCAAGAACACCAGUGGCGAAGGCGGCUCACUGGCCCGGUACUGACGCUGAGGUGCGAAAGCCAGGGGAGCAAACGGG